Molecule: ribosomal RNA, 686 nt
Filed under: Polarella glacialis
Lineage: Eukaryota; Dinophyceae; Suessiales; Suessiaceae
Description: eukaryotic LSU rRNA
Rfam family: 5.8S ribosomal RNA (bases 279-433)
Source: RNAcentral
CACUUAGAGGAAGGAGAAGUCGUAACAAGGUUUCCGUAGGUGAACCUGCGGAAGGAUCAUUCGCACUAUCCAAACAACCAAUGUGAAUCUCCUCUGUGAGCGACUGGGUGGAGAUGGUUGAGUCUCUUCUUGAGGGUCACUUCCUGCAUCUGGGAGCUCGCGGGUGGCAGGGCAAACCUGGCUUAAACACCUGGGUUUGUUUCUGUUGCCAUUGUUCUUAAACUUUGGUUUCUUCUACUUGUGUUACAGCCUUCCAGACUGUAAAGUUUGUAUCUUACAACUUUCAGCGACGGAUAUCUCGGCUCAAGCAUCGAUGAAGGGCGCAGCGAAGUGUGAUAAUCAUUGUGAAUUGCAGAAUUCCGUGAACCAAUGGAAACUUGAACGUGCAUUACACUCUCGGGAUAUCCCUGGGAGUAUGCCUGCUUCAGUGCUUGUGGAAUCCUCAUGCAGGUGUGUCCUGAGUUGGCAUGCCUGUGUCUCUGUGUGCCAUGACUGUAACUCUACAGCCAGUGGCACAUUCAGGUUUCUAGAUUGCUCUGGCAUCUGCAACUUGUGAAGUGACUUCGGUUACAUGCUCGUUGCGGUGUCUAAGGGCUCCAUUGUCUUGCUUCGGCAAGCUCCUGCACAGCAUGAAGUCAGGUCAGCAAACCCGCUGAAUUUAAGCAUAUAAGUAAGCGGAGGAAAAG